GUCUCUUUGUAGUAGAUUAUUUUAAAGUGUAUAUAAAGAGUCGGACCUGCCCGGUGACAUAUAGUUAAACGGCCGCGGUACCCUAACCGUGCAAAGGUAGCAUAAUCAUUUGCCUUUUAAUUGGAGGCUGGUAUGAAUGGUUUGACGAGAGCUAAGCUGUCUCUUUUUUGAAUAUUUAGAAAUUAACUUUUAGGUGAAGAGGCCUAAAUUUGUUUAAGGGACAAGAAGACCCUGUUGAGCUUUAGUGAUUCUGCAAAUUUAUAUCUAUUUGGCUAAAAAUAAGUUAAAUAGUUUGCUAAAAUUUUAAUUACUAUGUAUAUUGAUUAUUUGUAGUGAAUCUUUAGUUGGGGCGACUAAGGAACAUAUAAAGCUUCCUUUAAUGAGUUGGUUGAUUUAGUAACUAGUAUUUUGAUGCUGAUAUGUUAUUUUGAUCCAGGUUAUUCUGAUCAAGAGAAAAAGUUACCACAGGGAUAACAGCGUAAUCUUUCUGGAGAGAUCUUAUCGAAAGGAGGGUUUGCGACCUCGAUGUUGGACUAAGAUAUCCUAAGGGUGUAGAAGCUCUUGAUGGUUGGUCU
This 575-nucleotide ribosomal RNA is filed under the name Priotrochus kotschyi. RNAcentral's name for it is "partial 16S ribosomal RNA". It matches the Rfam family "Bacterial large subunit ribosomal RNA", at positions 1816 to 2578 of the family's 2925-position model. Lineage: Eukaryota; Metazoa; Mollusca; Gastropoda; Trochida; Trochidae. The record is from RNAcentral.